Non-coding RNA from Arachis ipaensis, 816 nucleotides. The record is from RefSeq and is a predicted model, not a curated record. NCBI's taxonomy places the organism in Eukaryota, Viridiplantae, Streptophyta, Magnoliopsida, Fabales, Fabaceae.
GUGCUAGCGGGUGGUCUGGACUGUUACAGAUGGUAUCAGAGCCGGAGCCCGAAUCGAUGUACCAGCGAGGGCACUAGGCUCCCUUAAGGGGUGGAUUGUAAGGUCCCACAUCGAUUGUGGAGGGGAACGAAGCAUGCCUUAUAAGGGUAUGGAUACCUCUCCCUAACAUGGCAGCUAUGGUAAAUUGCAUAUCAUUUUGAAACCCCGAAUGUUUCUGAUACAUAUCAUUUCUCUCAUUCUUCUCUAUCAUUCACUCAUCACUCAUUAUUUCUUUCUUUUAAUUUUCACUCUAUGUCUCUUUGCUUUCUUAGAAUUCUCUCUAAUAUUCAAGCAUAAACUGAGUUGGUGGAUUUCUACAUACUAUUCUUUCCCUUAUUGCUAAUCAACUUAAAUUAGUGUCGAUUCUAUGAAGUCUGCCGCUAAUCCCAACCUAAUAUAGUGAUUUCACCCUAAAUCAGUUCAGUACCCAAAAUCAGAAAGAAGAGGAACCUGCGACAGAAGAGUGAAAGUGCAAGAACCCUCUGUGCUCAAACACACCGUGUGCCGCUGUGCGUCACUGUAGAGUCGCGUGGCUACCGACCCAACCGCUUCUCACCGUUGUCGACCGUUCCUUCUACUUUACGGUGCGUAAUGAUGGGUAGAAGAAGAAAUCAAUUAACUUGAUGGGAUACUUUCCACAAUCAUCAUCACUUUCGGACAUGAAAUCAAUCUUUGUUGAAAACUCGGAUGAGAAUAAUGAAGAAUCCGCUGUUUGUUCUUAUGAAUCUUGGCUAGAAAAUCAUCCUAAUGCAUUGGAAAACUUUGAAGAAAUAUUGA